GCUUGCCGUUGGAACAUUGGAGCCUAGCCGUUGGGAGAUUCAUGCAUGUCUAUAAAAUCAGGGCAAGAGAAUUUGUUCAGAGAGAGCUAAUUUUUUUUUAGAAUCCGCUUGAACGUUAGAAGAGCCUAAGGCCAGCUGGACUAGCCGUUGGAGAUUCAUACAUUUGAAGCCAUGGUCUAUAAAAUUAGGGCAAGAUAGGGAGAGAGGAAUUGUUGUAGGGAGAGGAUUUGUGGUACGAACUGGUAGUGGGACUGAGCUUUGCAUUUGCAUAGGAGUGUUGGGCGAGAGAGGGUAAGAGGAUUUGUGGUAGGGACUGGCAGUGGGACUGAGAUUCACAUAUUUGAAGCCCUGGUCUAUAAAUUAGGGCGAGAGAGGGAGAGAAUUUAUGGUAGGGACUGGCAGUGGGACUGAGAUUCAUACAUUUGAAGCCAUGGCCUAUAAAAUAAGGGCAAGAGAGGGAGAGAGAAUUUGUGGUAGGGAGAGGAUUUGUGGUAGGAACCGGCAGUGGGAAUGAGCUUUGAAUUUGUAUUGGAAUGUUGGGUUAUUGGACAGAAGGUGCUUACAGAAUGGUUUAUCUCUUUUGAAAGAUUUAAACUAAGACCCAACGUGCGAUGAAACUCUCGGUUCAUGGCUAAAAGGGCUUGACAGUGAGCUGGUUGUGAUCAAUCAGAGACAAUUUAAAACAAGGUUUGGACAAGCGAGAAUUUGAACACAGAGAAACUCAUUACAAGAUUUGUGCACGGCGAUAGAAAUUGAACAUGAAGAUUUCAAAGAAGGGAUCAACUUACAAUAUUGUUUAAUAGUGGAAUGGAAGUAUGAAAUAUGUGACAUUUCAUUUAAAUUGAUUAUUUAUGUUUAUUGUAAACAUUCCUCAACAAUUAUAAUCAAUAAAGAUAUAUCAUUUUUUUUUAGGAGGGGUAGAAAUACCCCUCCAAAAACUCUCAAAGAUGGCCAUGAACAUCUUUGAGAGUUUCUCUUGUUUCUCUGCUACUAUUAUUUUGUUUCAUUUUUGUUUUUGUUUUUUUAAAUUAGUCAAAAAUAUGAUUGUUGUAAUUUAUUUAAAUGAUAAUAAGUUUUAUGGUAACUAAAAAUUGUAUAUAUAUGAAAAAUAAUUUGCUUAGAUUUCAAUUGAAAUAUAAAAUGUCCAUCAAAAUUUAUUUAAAUGACAUAUAUUUGUAUGCCCAUAUAUGUCGUUUUAAAAUACUAAUCAAAGUUAACUAAAUUACUUGCUCAUAGCCAAUUAAAUACUUAUAGAACUUUAUAAUUCUCAAAUAGUUCUCAUGGAUGGUGGAUUAACUUGAAACUACACCAUAAUAUAGUAAUAAAAAAAAUGAUUAAUAAAACUUUCUUCAAAUAGCUAGAAAUGAAUAUCUACUUUAAUUUUAUGUGUUUUUAGCUACA
Cryptomeria japonica (Japanese cedar) is the source of this 1401-nucleotide long non-coding RNA. RefSeq lists it as uncharacterized. NCBI's taxonomy places the organism in Eukaryota, Viridiplantae, Streptophyta, Pinopsida, Cupressales, Cupressaceae. The record is from RefSeq and is a predicted model, not a curated record. The transcript has 3 exons.